RNAcentral lists this ribosomal RNA (443 nucleotides) under uncultured bacterium. RNAcentral's name for it is "bacterial SSU rRNA". It matches the Rfam family "Bacterial small subunit ribosomal RNA", at positions 355 to 821 of the family's 1533-position model. The record is from RNAcentral.
UGGGGAAUAUUGGACAAUGGGCGAAAGCCUGAUCCAGCCAUGCCGCGUGAGUGACGAAGGCCUUAGGGUUGUAAAACUCUUUCGUCGGGGACGAUAAUGACGGUACCCGAAGAAGAAGCUCCGGCUAACUUCGUGCCAGCAGCCGCGGUAAUACGAAGGGAGCUAGCGUUGUUCGGAAUCACUGGGCGUAAAGCGCACGUAGGCGGAUAGUUAAGUCAGGGGUGAAAUCCUGGGGCUCAACCCCAGAACUGCCUUUGAUACUGGCUGUCUCGAGGUCGAGAGAGGUUGGUGGAAUUCCUAGUGUAGAGGUGAAAUUCGUAGAUAUUAGGAAGAACACCAGUGGCGAAGGCGGCCAACUGGCUCGAUACUGACGCUGAGGUGCGAAAGCGUGGGGAGCAAACAGGAUUAGAUACCCUCGUAGUCCCUGAGCGGGCUGGCAAGGC